GAUCAUGGCUCAGGAUGAACGCUAGCUACAGGCUUAACACAUGCAAGUCGAGGGGCAGCAUGGUCUUAGCUUGCUAAGGCCGAUGGCGACCGGCGCACGGGUGAGUAACGCGUAUCCAACCUGCCUUACACUCUUGGACAGCCUUCUGAAAGGGAGAUUAAUACAGGAUGUUAUCAUGAGUAAGCAUUUUCGCAUGAUUAAAGGUUUACCGGUGUAAGAUGGGGAGUGCGUU
This 232-nucleotide ribosomal RNA is filed under the name uncultured bacterium. RNAcentral describes it as "partial 16S ribosomal RNA". It matches the Rfam family "Bacterial small subunit ribosomal RNA", at positions 15 to 237 of the family's 1533-position model. The record is from RNAcentral.